Molecule: long non-coding RNA, 446 nt
Filed under: Trifolium pratense (red clover)
Lineage: Eukaryota; Viridiplantae; Streptophyta; Magnoliopsida; Fabales; Fabaceae
Description: long non-coding RNA (TPRA_LNC009345)
Source: RNAcentral
GUGAAUAUGAUAAUGCUUAUAAGAUGAUCAACUGACAGCCAAGUUUCCCAUAUGACUACUGACACUCUAGGUGUAGUAGGAACUCACUAAGGCUUAGAGUCUCAACCCACUCCCUUUUAUUUUUUUCAGAUAAACAGGUUUAUCAAUACAGGGGUAAGAAGGAAGCUGAUGAUCGAGGCUUAGAUUGGAUUAUCUUGAGAUAUUAACAUUAGUUUUCUUCCUUGUUUUGUAUUACACUGUUUAGAUUCCUUUCCGCUGUGAUGUAUCAGUUUACUACGAUGUACUUAUACGUUGUAAAUGAAACAAGUUAUUAUGUAAUUUUAAUGUACCCAGAUUUCAAUUAUGUAUGUCUCGACUAAAUAUUCUAGAUAAAUUUAGUUGGGGUGUUACACAUAUAGGCUUCUAUGGAAUGCAAACACCUUACUUGAAAUUGGAAGUAGUCAGCU